GCGCGAAACCUCCGCAAUGCGAGCAAUCGCGACGGGGGGACCCCAAGUGCCACUCUUAACGGGGUGGCUUUCUUAAGUGUAAAAAGCUUUUGGAAUAAGGGCUGGGCAAGACCGGUGCCAGCCGCCGCGGUAACACCGGCAGCCCAAGUGGUGGCCAUUUUAUUGGGCCUAAAGCGUUCGUAGCCGGUCUGAUAAGUCUUUGGUGAAAUCCCACAGCUUAACUGUGGGAAUUGCUGGAGAUACUAUCAGGCUUGAGGUCGGGAGAGGUUAGAGGUACUCCCAGGGUAGGGGUGAAAUCCUAUAAUCCUGGGAGGACCACCUGUGGCGAAGGCGUCUAACUGGAACGAACCUGACGGUGAGUAACGAAAGCCAGGGGCGCGAACCGGAUUAGAAACCCCG
This 399-nucleotide ribosomal RNA is filed under the name uncultured bacterium. Its description in RNAcentral is "bacterial SSU rRNA". It matches the Rfam family "Archaeal small subunit ribosomal RNA", at positions 339 to 740 of the family's 1478-position model. The record is from RNAcentral.